This 446-nucleotide ribosomal RNA is filed under the name uncultured bacterium. RNAcentral's name for it is "partial 16S ribosomal RNA". It matches the Rfam family "Bacterial small subunit ribosomal RNA", at positions 338 to 795 of the family's 1533-position model. The record is from RNAcentral.
CCUACGGGUGGCAGUAGUCGAGAAUCAUUCACAAUGGGGGAAACCCUGAUGGUGCGACGCCGCGUGGGGGAAUGAAGGUCUUCGGAUUGUAAACCCCUGUCAUGUGGGAGCAAAUUAAAAAGAUAGUACCACAAGAGGAAGAGACGGCUAACUCUGUGCCAGCAGCCGCGGUAAUACAGCGGUCUCAAGCGUUGUUCGGAAUCACUGGGCGUAAAGCGUGCGUAGGCUGUUUCGUAAGUCGUGUGUGAAAGGCGCGGGCUCAACCCGCGGACGGCACAUGAUACUGCGAGACUAGAGUAAGGGAGGGGGAAGCGGAAUUCUCGGUGUAGCAGUGAAAUGCGUAGAUAUCGAGAGGAACACUCGUGGCGAAGGCGGGUUCCUGGACAUUAACUGACGCUGAGGCACGAAGGCCAGGGGAGCGAAAGGGAUUAGAUACCCGUGUAGUC